ACCAGGAGGCGAUGAAGGACGUAGCACGCUGCGAAAAGCUACGGGGAGCCGCGAGCAGGCUUUGAUCCGUAGAUAUCCGAAUGGGGCAACCCACCCGCAAGGGUAUCAUCAUCUGAAUACAUAGGAUGAUGAGGCGAACCCGGGGAACUGAAACAUCUCAGUACCUGGAGGAAAAGACAUCAAUUGAGAUUCUGCUAGUAGUGGCGAGCGAACGCGGAACAGGCCAGUGGUCUUUGGAAGAGAAGCAGAACACUCUGGAAAGGGUGGCCAUAGUGGGUGAUAGUCCCGUAUGCGUAGUGCUUUUAAAGAUCCUUGAGUAGGGCGGGGCACGUGAAACCCUGUCUGAACAUGGGGGGACCACCCUCCAAGCCUAAAUACUCCCUGGUGACCGAUAGUGAACAAGUACCGUGAGGGAAAGGUGAAAAGCACCCCGACGAGGGGAGUGAAAUAGACCUGAAACCGAAUGCCUACAAGCAGUCGGAGCCUCUUAUGGGGUGACGGCGUACCUUUUGUAUAAUGGGUCAGCGAGUUUCUGUUUGCAGCAAGCUUAAGCCGGUAGGUGUAGGCGUAGCGAAAGCGAGUCUGAAUAGGGCGUCUAGUUGCUGGCAGAAGACCCGAAACCGAGUGAUCUAGCCAUGGCCAGGCUGAAGGUGCGGUAACACGCACUGGAGGGCCGAACUCACGCCUGUUGAAAAAGUCGGAGAUGAGCUGUGGCUAGGGGUGAAAGGCCAAUCAAACUCGGAAAUAGCUGGUUCUCCGCGAAAUCUAUUGAGGUAGACCGUCAGG
Molecule: ribosomal RNA, 786 nt
Filed under: Wolbachia endosymbiont of Drosophila subpulchrella
Lineage: Bacteria; Pseudomonadati; Pseudomonadota; Alphaproteobacteria; Rickettsiales; Anaplasmataceae
Description: bacterial LSU rRNA
Rfam family: Bacterial large subunit ribosomal RNA
Source: RNAcentral